AGUUGUUAUUAUUUACAUUGAGGAUGAAUGAUGCUAAUCAAAUGGUGAUAAGAGCUUCGCCAAAAAAAAUCAUCAACUUACAAUUAUUCGCUAACAUUAUAUCAAUGUCUUUCAACAUGGUCCCUGUCUUGUUGAAAAUCACCAACUCAGAAAAUCACAAGUCACAAGAGACUUAAACUUAAAACAUUAUAUCACUUUAAUAUGUUUAUACUAAAAGCCAUUAAAAAAAAAAAAAAACUUAAAUAUUUCAUAUUAAUAACAACCGUUUAAAA
This is a long non-coding RNA of Rhopalosiphum padi (bird cherry-oat aphid), 272 nucleotides long. RefSeq lists it as uncharacterized. NCBI's taxonomy places the organism in Eukaryota, Metazoa, Arthropoda, Insecta, Hemiptera, Aphididae. The record is from RefSeq and is a predicted model, not a curated record. The transcript is spliced from 2 exons.